RNAcentral lists this ribosomal RNA (123 nucleotides) under Jaculus jaculus (lesser Egyptian jerboa). Lineage: Eukaryota; Metazoa; Chordata; Mammalia; Rodentia; Dipodidae. The record is from RNAcentral.
UUCUAUGGCCAUACCACCCUGAACAUACCAGAUCUCUUCUGAUCUUGGAAGGUAACCAGGGUCAGACCUGGUUGGUACUUGGAUGGGAAUAGUUAGAAUAAUGAAUCAUCAGUAGCCAAGAAA